This 538-nucleotide ribosomal RNA is filed under the name Stenotrophomonas sp. Vi65. RNAcentral's name for it is "bacterial SSU rRNA". It matches the Rfam family "Bacterial small subunit ribosomal RNA", at positions 27 to 564 of the family's 1533-position model. The record is from RNAcentral. Lineage: Bacteria; Pseudomonadati; Pseudomonadota; Gammaproteobacteria; Lysobacterales; Lysobacteraceae.
GGAUGACGCUGGCGGCAGGCCUACACAUGCAGUCCAGCGGCUGCACGGAGAGCUUGCUCUCUUCGGGGGGAGAGGGGUGAGGGAUGGCUAUGCAUCUGACUCUACUCUGGGGAGAGCGAUUCCGAAGGGAAACUUAUACCGCUUCCGCCCUCCAGCUGAAAGCGAGGGACCGGGACCUUUUGGCCUUGCGCGAUUGCCUGAGCCGGAUUCGCUUGUUGGUGAGGGAAUGGCUCACCAAGGCCACGAUCCCUAUCUGGUCUUAGACGAAGAUCAUGCUCACUGGCACUGAAACUGAGACCCGACUCCUACUGCAGGCGGAGGUGGGGAAUGUGGAUCUAUGAGAGAGAGCCUGAUCCUGACCUGCCCCUAGUGCGAGGAAGGACUACGGCUUGUAAAGCACUAUCCGUUUUGAGGAAAAGCAAUUCGCUCUUACUUAGACCCGGUUACGAUGCCGGCACCAUAAGAAUCGGCUACCUCUGUGUCCGUGGCCGCGGCCGUACUAAUGGUGCAGGCGUUAAUCUGAAUUACAGUUCCUAAA